AUUCCUAGAGGAAUAAAUCUCAUUAGAGUCAGCGAGCCAAUAAGCACGCAGAAUGCUUCUACUAAGAUCCAAUAAUGCUGCUGAUUGGCUGUCUAAUGUUACACGUCCAGGAGACACGCAGG
Molecule: long non-coding RNA, 122 nt
Organism: Etheostoma cragini (Arkansas darter)
Lineage: Eukaryota; Metazoa; Chordata; Actinopteri; Perciformes; Percidae
Exons: 3
Source: RefSeq, a predicted model, not a curated record